ACGCGCCGAACCUUACCUGGGCUUGACAUACACCAGACCGGGCUAGAGAUAGUCCUUCCCUUGUGGCUGGUGUACAGGUGGUGCAUGGUUGUCGUCAGCUCGUGUCGUGAGAUGUUGGGUUAAGUCCCGCAAAGAGCGCAACCCUUGUCUUAUGUUGCCAGCACGUAAUGGUGGGGACUCAUGAGAGACUGCCGGGUUAACUCGGAGGAAGGUGGGGAUGACGUCAAAUCAUCAUGCCCCUUAUGUCCAG
This 250-nucleotide ribosomal RNA is filed under the name uncultured bacterium. RNAcentral's name for it is "partial 16S ribosomal RNA". It matches the Rfam family "Bacterial small subunit ribosomal RNA", at positions 959 to 1211 of the family's 1533-position model. The record is from RNAcentral.